AUGAGCAUAGGUGGGUCCUGCCUGGGAACAGCGCCGGCCGAAGAGAAAUGGUGAUAAACAAGAGAGCGAUUUAAACACACUCGCUCUCGCGUAGGCAAAGGAGCAGCCGGAAGGAGGACCACUCUCUUCCAGAUUGCGGACCACCGCCACUGCAUCGACGCCGUGUGAAGCAAAGUUAUGCGUCUCCAGUAGCGGGCGGAGAGCCUAUUGCUGCAACAGCAGGGCGAGAACUACUGCAGUGUCCUAGGAAGCGCUGCAGGAGGCUCGCAAAGCCUUGCUUUGCUUCAGCUGCUGCAAUCAGUUGCAUCAGCUAGCAACUGAAUCUGCCUGCCUGCAAUCCAUCUCCUCAGUGAGCAACUCAAUCUGCCUGCCUCCAAUUGGAAUCACGUUUCCUAUUUGAAGAACACAUUGCCAAUACUCCUUCGAAGAGGUUCAAAAGUAUGCCUUAUUGAAAGAUGCAUUUGCACUUGACUUCUCCAGACUGCAGGCCCUGAUGACGUGAAACUAUGUGGUAGCACUUGCCAAUCUUUCCCACUCAUAUCAGAGAAUGAGAAUUGAUCAUGUACUCUGUGACAGAUCUUUGUUGCUUUUCUCUUGAAUUGCUACUUCUUUAUUGUGCAAGAAAUAAAAGAGCCAGAAGUAAUGGGUGGAAACUAAUCAAGGAGAGAAGCAACUUAGAACUAAGGAGAAAUUUCCUGACAGUUUGAAAAAUUAAUCGGUGGAACAACUUGCCUGCAGAAGUUGUGAAUGCUCCAACACUGGAAAUUUUUAAGAAAAUGUUAGAUAACCAUUUGUCUGAAAUGGUGUAGGGUUGCCUGCCUGGGCAGGGGGUUGGACUAGAAGACCUCCAAGGUCCCUUCCAACUCUGUUAUUAUUAUAAUCCUGCACAUUCCAAUUUUCAAUAUGGUUCUGUAGCUAUGGGCCGUCCUUUGCUAACUUUUCAGGCUCCUUGAUUCAAAUGACUGGAAAUGACUACUGCAAGAGGUUCAUAUAAGAGGUCUGAACUAUAUCCCUUAAUAGCUUCCAUUAUAUUGUUUCUAUCUUUUGGAGAUGAUGGACAGAUGUGGAUUUUUAAGAAUGACUUCAGGCAUUCUGUAUAAAUGGCUAUGGGAGGGUGAUUGUGCAUUCACAAAAUGGCUGCCAGAUGCCUAUAUGAUGCUGACGAGGCAAAACAUGGAUGAGCCACUAUGUACAAAUCUGCUAGACAUCUAUCAUUUAAUGCUAAGCAUGGCUUUGAAGAAAAUACAGCAUUUAACUUAAAUGCAGAAUGAUUUUGAAGGAAUGCCAUUGCAAAAAUGAAAUGUUCUAUCCAAUUCAAUAAAUAGCUUGCCAAGUUUAUUUGAACCAUGAUUCAAGCAUCAUCAAAAUCUCAUUCUCUUGUGUCUUCCUACUAUAGGUAAGAAACAUGUAAGAACAAAUAUAAAAAAGAGAAUAGACAAAAGGAAUGUCUAAAUUGGGAAAAAAAACCUGUUCUCUAAAUUUUACCUUUGCAUGGGUUGAUUAUUUACUGAAAACUAUAAAUGUAUUUUUAAGGUUUAUGUUUAUUCAGGAUGCUUGUAAUAUCACUUUUGAUAGAACUCCCAGAAUGAUUUAUGAUAAAAUUUGGUAAAAAACACAAUUUAACUCAAGUAGUUUUGAAUGAGGCCAUACAAAUUUAAAGGUUUGCAAUGGAAUGAAAAGUUUUUUGCUGCUGUACAUUUAAUUUUUUUUAAACCAUAAGCUUUUAUUUUUAUUCUUUUACUAUGUUGAAAUUCUUUAAAUAUUUUGAAUAUUUUUGUUCUUGCUACUUGAUUAGAUGUUCAGUUAUUAUUCCUACCAGUAUUUAUGCACAGAGCAGGAAGUGUUGCAGUAGCAAGGGGCAGGGUUGUUUUAUACAUUGCUGAGUAAUCACGCUGUGACAGAAUAAUAUGAAGGAUUUGGGGUAUUGGGAUUCCUGGGUAUAUCAUGCAGUACGAAUGAGGGAGCCAAAUUCCCUCAUUCAGAAUCAUCUCAUUCUCUAAUCCCACAAAAUAAGCAGAGGAACUUUGUAAAUAUCUAAAUAAUGCUUCUAGAGAUUCUGUUAAUAAACAGGCAAUGAUAGUGUUGGAAGUUUUAUGUGGGAAACACAAUAGAUAAAAGAAACCAUAAUAGGAAGGGAGUCCUUACCCCUAAUACAGCAUAAUAGAGAUUUCAGAUCCAACACAGUUUUUGUAUCGCAGGAUAUGCUGUAUGCAAUAAAGUUUUGUCUUCUAGGCCAUGUCAAGGGUUUUUCCUAAGGCAGUCUUCCAAAUUGUGAUGGAUAGAACCAGAAUAUGACACACAAAUCCAUCAUCUGUUGCUGUUCAUAUAGAUCUGUGAAUUUAUGAUAGCUCCAUUAGAAGCUCAUCAGCCAAAUUGAUUUUUUGCAUUACAUUGUUGUCAUUGUAGAUAUAUUCAUGAACUGGAAUAGGCAUGGCAGCCAAUGGGGACUGUUUGGCAACUGAAACAUAGUAGCUGCUGUGUGAGCCACAAGAGACAGCUAGGAGCCGGGGCGUGUCUUACCUCAAUUGUUCUGUAUAAAGAUGAAGUCUUGUCUCUGCUGUCCCUGGCCUGUGUUUGUACCUACUUACAAUCUCUUCUCUCUACCACAUUGGAAAAACCAGCAUGGAAAGCUUGACCAUGCCGCUUCAGAGUGUUGCAAAAGAUGCAACAGUUUGGAGAAGGAUUAAAUUUAAAGGGAUGUAAGGCAUAUUUGGAUUGUGCAAUAUACAGAUAAUCAAAGUCCAAAGCAUUCCCAGUGAGCAAAAGUAGCACAAGGCAGACAACGAGCUCUAGAGCUGGUAUGUGCAGAUUUCUAUUCUUUUUAAUAUUUGUUUAAAUUUUCUUUUAAUACAAAUAUUCCAUCUUACAUGUGUGUCAUCUGGGUAUAAAAUUCUUUGUGUCUUAACAAUUAAACUUACAACCAUAUUCAUUUCUUAUAUUCAUUCUUACAUUAAUAGUAAAUAAUAAUACUGAUAAAAUAACAUAAACCUAACAUUUCUCUUCUUUACUUACCUGUUUUUACAAUACAUUGCUUUUAUAUUUAUUCUCUAACCAUUGAUAAAAUAACUUCCAUAUAUUAUAAUAAUUGGAUUGUUCAUUUUCUUGAAUUGCAAGUGUUAAAUCUGUUCUUUUCUGCACAUUCUAAUAUUUCCUUAAUUACUUUUUCAUCUAUAGGGAUCUCUUUGCUUUUCCAAUUUUGUGCAAAUACAAUUCUAGCUGCGGUUAUUACAUGAAUAAUCAAAUAUACAGUUUCUUUACUAUAAACUCCCAGUAAAAUCCCCAAUAGGAACAAUUUCGGUUUUAAAUCAAUAUGUUGUUGCAUCAUCUUCUCCAGCCACAUACAAAUUUUUGCCCACUAUCUUUUUGCUUCUCCCCAUGUCUACCACAUAUGAUAAUAUGACUCCGGUGUCUGUUGGCAUUCUCAACAUUUAGCUGAUUUUUCUUUAUACAUUUUCACCAAUCUUUCGGGUGCUAAGUGUCAUCUGUAAAACAUCUUAUAUAAGUUUUCCUUGUAUGCAGGAAACAUUGACAAUGUUCAUUUGUAAUUCCUAUCCCAUAGUUGCUGCCAUUUAUCUAGCUCUAUUGUGUGAACAAAGUUUUUCACCCAUCCUAUCAUUGUUUCUUUGAUUUGUUCUUCUUCUAAUUAACACUCAAUAAGUAACUGUACAAUUUUUUUAUCGUUCUCUCUUCUAUUCCUGUCAAUAUCUUAUCCAAUUCUCUCAGUUCCAUAUAAAAAUAAAGUUUAGCAUCCUUUUCAUAUCCAGAUUGUAUUUGCAACUGUGUAUACCAAUCCAUAUCAGUCCCCUGCUUUUCCAGCUCACAUUUCAUUUUAAGUUCUCCCUUUUCCAACAAAAUAUCUUUGUAUCUAGCAAUAUUUCCCAUAUUAAUAAUAUUUGGAUGUAUAAGUGCUUCCAUUGUCAAACGCCAGACAAGUAUCUUCAGGUAGUGUUGCUCUCUAAUUUUUUUUCCAUACUAAUAACAAAGUAUUUCUUAUAUAAUGUCUUUGGAAAUAACCAUGUAUCUUAUUUUUCCCAUACCAUACAAAAGGAUGCCAACCUAUCUGCAGGUCAUGUCCCUCCAAUGUCAAUCACCUUGUGUUUCUCAAUACAAUCCAUUCCUUCAUCCGAGUUAGCGCUGCUGCCUGGUAAUAUAAUUCCAAAUUCAGUAAUCCAAACUCUCCCCUAGCUCUUACGUCUUGUAACAUUUUUAGAUUGAUUCUCACUUUCCCCCCCCUGCCAUAUAUAUUUUACUAUUAUCUUAUUGAGCUCUUCAAAAUAUUUUUUCUCCAAUUUUAUCGGUAUUGUUUUGAAUAAAAACAAUACUCUCGGUAAUAGGUUCAAUUUAAUUGUAGCUAUUCUUCCUAUUAACAAUAAUUGCAAGUUUUUCCAUCUAUGCAAAUCUACCUCAAUUUGCUUUUUUAGCUUAUACUAGUUGUCUUCCUUAAUCAUUACACAUCUUGCUUAAUUAUAUCCCUAUAUAUUUUAUUUUAUUUGUAAUUUGUAUAUCUAAUCUCUUUAUUAAGUCCCUUUUCUGUUUUUCUGUAAUAUUUUUCACUAAGAUUUUCAUUUUGUCCUCAUUGAUUUUCAGUCCUGCCACCUCACCAUAUUCUUCUAUUUUUUUAAAUAACUUUGGCCUGUUUCUUGCAGUUCUUUUAAAAUAAAUACCAAAUCAUUUGCAAAUGCCUGCAACUUAUAUUCCUCCUUUUUUAUUUCCAUUCCCUUAUCUCAUCUUAUAUUUCUGUUUAAUACCUCCAAUGUCAAUACAAAUAGCAGUGGGGAUAAAGGACAUCCCUGCCUUGUACCCUUCAUAAUAUUAACCUUUUAGUCCAUUUACCAUCACCCUUGCAGAUUGCUUAUGAUAUAUUGUCUUAAUCAUAUUAAUAACAUUUUCUCAACAAUCCAUAACUUUUAGUUGCGUCAACAUAAAUUUCCAGUUCACGUUGUCAAAGGCCUUCUGAGCAUCAAAGAAAAUCAAGGUCAUUUGUUUCCCUGGAUGUGCUUUAUAAUAUUCCAGUGUGUUCAAGAUUAUUCUCAUAUUAUCUUUAAUUUGUCUCUUAGGUAAGAAUCUAUUUUGAUCUGUAUGUAUCAACUCAUUUAAGAAUCUUUAGACUUUCUGCUAUAAUUGAAGCAAAUAUCUUAUAAUCCGCAUUCAACAGAGAGAUCAGUCUGUCAUUUUUUAACUGUUUCAAGUCUGCGUCUCCUUUUGGUAUAAGAGUAAUAUACGCCUCCAUCCACGAAGUCGGUAUUUUCGCCUCUAUCAGCAGGUCGUUGAAUAUUUCCAACAUCAUAUUACUUAUAACAUUGUGCAGUGUUUUAUACAGUUCUGCUGGUAGCCCAUCUGGAUCCCGUGUUUUGCCAUUCUCAUCCAUUAAUUGGUAAAUUAGCUUUUUCUCCUGCUCUUUUUUUCAGUCUAUAUGCCAACCACCUUCCCAGUUUAUUUGCAUUUUCAAAAAAAGUUUUGUUUACCUCUCUUAAUCUUUUGUGCUGUCUUCUUUUUCUGUUAAGUUUAGUUUAUGCUUUUUUCAAAUCUAUUUGAUCUUUUAUGUUCUUUUUUCAUAGGUCUUUUUGUAGUUCUAUCCUCUAUCUUUUUAUAUUCCUCUUCUAAUUGCUUUUGAGUUUGUCUUUUCUUUUUAUUCCUCUUUCCCGCAUAUGUUAUUGCCAGUCCUCUAAUAUAUGCUUUUGCUGUAACCCAUACAUUUUGUAAUGGUGUUUCUUCUUUUCUAUUCUCUUUGAAGAAGAAGGCCAGCUCUAUUUCCAUAAAUUGUAUAAAGUCUUUUUCUUUUAAAAUCAUUUGGUUCGUUGUCCAUCUUAACUUCUUUUUUGUACUCUCCAUAUAAUUUUCAUUGGGUUAUGAUCCGCACAUGUGCUUGCUUCUAUACUUAUUUCUUGUAUAUUGGGUAGUAACUCAGUUGAUAUCCACAUCAUGUCUAUUUUAGACCAAGACAUAUGUCUAUUAGAGUAAAAUGUGUAUUGAUUUUUGUCCAGAUGUAUCCCAGGCUAAGCAUCUUGCAUACCUAAUUCUACCAUUUUAAAAAAGAUUUUUGGAAGUGUCUUUCUAGCUCUUUUAUUUCUUUUUUUAAGUUCUAUAGUCCAAUUCUGCAUACAUUUACAUUUUACAACAAUUACAUUGAAUGGUAUAUGCAGAUUUGGUGGGACCAAUGCAAGCCAGUUUGGGAGGAGUAAAGUAUGCGCUGGUCAUUGUAAAUGACUACAGCAGGUUUGGGUUCUGCUAUUUACUAAAAAGUAAAAUAGAGGUGCCCCUUCAUGGAUUACUGCCUUGUCGUGGCGAAGGGGCUUGUGUAGCUCAAUGAAGCUAUAAGCUAUGCCAUGCAGGGAAACCCAAGACGGACAGGUCAUAGCAGAGAGUUCAGACAAAACAUGAUCCACUGGAGAAAGAAAUGGCAACCCACUCCAGUAUCUUUGCCAUGAAAAUCCCAUGGACAAAAAGGAAAAAAGAUAUGACGCCGGAAGAUUACCCCCUCAGGUCGGAACGUGUCCAAUAUGCUACUGGGAAAGAGCAGAGGGCUAGUACUAGUAGCGCCAGAAAGAAUAAAGUGACUGGGCCAAAGCCGAAAGGACGCUCAGCUGUGGAUGUAUCUGGUGGUGAAGGAAAGUCUGAUGCUGUAAAGAUUUUUUUCCCAUAGGAACCUGGAAUGUAAGAUCCAUGAAUCAAGGUAAGCUGGACGUGGUCAAACAAGAGAUGACAAAACUGAACAUCGACAUCAGCGAACUAAAAUGGGCAGGAAUGGGUGAAUUUAAUUCAUAUGACCAUCAGGUAUACUACUGCAGGCAAGAAUCCCUCAGAAGAAAUGGAGUAGUCUUCAUAAUCAAUAAAAGAGUAGGAAAAGCAAUACUGGGAUACAAUCCCCAAAAUGACAGAAUGAUCUCAGUUUGAAUCCAAGGCAAACCAUUCAAUAUCACAGUAGUCCAAGUCUAUGCCUCAACCAUUGGUGCUGAAGAGGAUGAAAUUGACCAGUUCUAUGAAGCCCUACACCACCUUAUAGAAUUAACACCCAAAAAUCAUGUCCUUAUCAUCAUGGGAGAUUGGAAUGCUAAAGUAGGAAACCAAAAGAUAACUGGAAUAACAGGCAAGUUUGGCCUUGGAGUACAAAAUGAAGCAGGGCACAAGCUGAUAGAAUUCUGUCAAGAUAAUAUGAUGGUCAGCAAACACUCUUUUCCAACAAUCCAAGAGACAACUCUACACAUGGAUAUCACCAGACAGUCAACACAGAAAUCAGACUGACUAUGUGCUCUGCAGCCAAAGAUGGAGAAGCUCUAUACAGUCAGUAAAAACAUGACGAAGAGCUGACUGUGGCUCAGAUCAUGAGCUUCUCCUUGCAAAAUUUAGGCUUAAACUGAAGAAAGUAGGGAAAAGCCCCUGGCCAUUCAGGUAUGAACUAAAUCAUAUCCCUGGUGAAUAUACAGUAGAGGUGACAAAUAGAUUUAAGUAAUUAGAUCUGAUAGACAGAGUGCUUGAAGAACUAUGGAUAAGGUUUGCAACAUCGUAUAGGAGGUAGCAACUAAAACCAUCCCAAAGAAAAAGAAAUGCAAGAAAGCAAAAUGGCUGUCUGAGGAAGCUUUGCAAAUAGCUGAGGAAAGAGGGAAGCGAAAGGCAAGGGAGAAAAUAAAGAUACACUCAGUUGAAUGCAGAAUUCCAGAGAAUAGCUAGAAGAGAUAAGAAUACAUUCUUAAAUGAACAGUGCAAAGAAAUAGAAGAAAACAAUAAAAUAGGGAAGACCAGAGAUCUCUUCAAGAAAAUUUGAGAUAUGAAGGGAACGUUUCAUGCAAAGAUGGGCAUGAUAAAGGACCAAAAUAGCAGGGACCUAACAGAGGCAGAAGAGAUUAAGAAGGGGUGGCAAAAUUACAGAGAAGAACUAUACAAGAAUGAGCUUAAUAUCCUGAUAACCAAGAUGGGGUGAUCACUGACCUUGAGGCAGACAUCCUACAAUGUGAAGUCAAAUGGGCCUUAGGAAAUCUGAGCAACAACAAAGCUAGUGGAGGAGACAGUAUUCCAGCUGCGUUAUUCAAAAUCUUAAAAGAUGAUGCAGUAAAAGUGCUAUGCUCAAUUUGUCAGCAAAUUUGGAAAACUCAUCAGUGGCCACAGGAUUGGAAAUGGUCAGUUUACAUUCCAAUUCCAAAGAAAGGCAAUGCCAAACAAUGUUCAAACUAUCGCACCAUUGCACUGAUUUAACAUGUUAAUAAGGUUAUGCUUAAAAUAGUACAAGCUAGGCUCCAGGCAGUAUGUGAAUCGAGAACUACCAGAAGUGCAGGCAGGAUUUCAAAAGGCAGAGGAACUAGAGAUCAAAUUGCCAACAUACGCUGGAUCAUGGAGAAAGCUGGAGAGUUCCAGAAAAACAUCUAUUUCUGCUUCAUUGACUAUGCAAAAGCCUUUGAUUGUGUGGAUCACAACAAAUUGUGGCAAGUUCUUAAAGAGAUGGGAGUAUCAGACCAUCUUAUUUGUCUCUUGAAAAACCUGUAUGCGGGUCAAGAAGCAACAGUGAGAACUGGACACGGAACCACUGAUUGGUUCAAAAUUGGGAAAGGAGUCUGGCAAGGCUGUAUACUAUCACCCUGCCUAUUUAAUUUAUAUGUAGAGCACAGCAUGAGAAAGGCGGGGCUGGAUGAAUCAAAAAUUGGAAUUAAGAUUGCCGGAAGAAAUAUCAACAACCUCAGAUAUGCAGAUUAUACCACUCUAAUGGCAGAAAGCGAAGAGGAAUUAAAAAGCCUCUUGAUGCAGGUGAAGGAGGAGAGUGCAAAAGUUGGCUUGAAAUUCAACAUUAAGAAAACUAAGAUCAUAGCAUCCGGCCCUCUCAACUCCUGGCAGAUAGAUGGGGAGGAAAUGGAGGUAGUGACAGAUUUUAUUUUCCUGGGCUCCAAGAUCACCGCAGAUGGGGACUGCAGCCAAGAAAUUAAAAGACGCUUGUUCCUGGGGAGGAAAGCUAUGGCAAAUCUAGACAGCAUACUAAAAAGCAGAGACAUCACCCUGCCAAUAAAAGUGCGUAUAGUCAAGGGUAUGGGUUUUCCCAGUUGCAAUGUAUGGCUAUGAAAGUUGGACCAUAAGAAAGGCUGAGCGCCAAAGAAUUUAGGCCUUUGAACUCUGGUGCUAGAAAAGACUCCUGUUAGUCCCUUGGACUGCAAGGUGAUCAAACUAGAGGAGAUCAACCCUGACUGCUCUUUAGAAGGCCAGAUCCUGAAGAUGAAACUGAAAUACUUUGGCCACCUAAUGAGAAGGAAGGACUCACUGGAGAAGAGCCUAAUGCUGGGAAAGAUUGAGGGCAAAAGAAAAAGGGGACGACAGAGAAUGAGGUGGCUAGAUGGAGUCACUGAUGCAGUAGGCGUGAGCUUAAAUGGACUCCAAAGGAUGGUAGAGGAUAGGAAGGCCUGGAGGAACGUUGUCCAUGGGGCGCGAUGGGUCAGACAUGACUUCGCAACUAACAACAACAACAAAAUAGAGGUGCUACAGAAAUUUAAACAAUGGGUAAGCGGCAGGUAUGUCAGCUGCAAACUGACAGAGGUUCAAAAUUCAUGUCAGCAAGUUUUCAAUAACGGUUGGGACAGUAGGAAUAAAACACAGAUGCACAAAUCUGUACACAGCAGCUGAGAAUGGCGUGGUUGAGAGACAGAAUGGAGUCUUACAAACAAUGAAGGAUUCUGGAGGAUUCUGGUCUGAGCAGGUCAUAUUGAGGUGAAGCCAUGUUGACUGCUAAUUAUUUAAUCAAUAGGCUGUGGAGUUCCUCUAUUAAUAAUAUUCCAUAUGCAGUGCUCUGUGAGAGAAAGACAUCUCUGGCAAAAUUAAGGGUGUUUGGAAGCAAUGCAUGGGUGCAUAUUCCAAUAGCAAUUAGAAGAAAAUUACAACCAAAAGCUAGAAAGCUCAGGUUUACAGGCUGUGAGCCAGGCUCAAAGAGCUAUCGCUUUAGACAUGGGAGCAAAAGAAUAGUGAUUUCCAAGUCUGCUAGCUUUGUAGAGCAAAAUUGGAACAGAAUUGAUGCCAAUUUUUGGAAUUAUCCACUUAGUGAUGGUGAUCCACUUGGUAACUCACUUAGUGAUGGCAACUCACUUAGUGAUGAUGUCAUUGUUCAGGGAGGAGAAGCUGAAAAAGAUAUGAAGCAAAAGAUGGUUGAAGCACAGCAGCGGUCAAUACCACGCAGGUCAGAGCAUGGAACAAAGGAAUUCCACCUGACAGGUAUUCUGCUAGUAAAGUAAAGGUGUAUAAUGUGUGAUAUGAGCCAAGGAACUAUAAGGAAGUAUUGGCAUUACUUAAAAUUGAACAAGUAAAGUGGAAAGAAGCCAUGGACAAAGAAAUAAAAUCAGUGGUGAAAUCCAAAUUUUUUUACUACUGGUUCUGUGGGCGUGGCUUGGUGGACAUGGUGUUGCUUGGUGGGCGUGGCUUGGGCAUGGCAGGGGAAGGAUACUGCGAAAUCCCCAUUCCCUGCCCACUCCUGGGGAAAGGAUAUUGCAAAAUCUCCAUUCCCACCCCACUCUGGGACCAGGCAGAGGUGGAUUUGCCAGUUCUCCAAACUACUCAAAAUUUCUGCUAUCAGUUCUCCAGAACCUGUCAGAACCUGCUGGAUUUCACCCCUGAAUGAAAUCCAUGGGUGAACGUAAAGUCUUCACCUCUAUGACUUUGCCACAGGGUAGCAAAGUCGUAGGAUGCAAAUGAGUGUACAAAAAGAAAAUACUACCCAAUAAUGAGGUACAAUAUAAGGCAAGGUUAGUGGCACAAGGUUUUUCACAGAAAAAUGAAAAUAGUGCAAAUGUGCACUAUGAUGAGGUAUUCACACCUGCAGUAAAGAGUGAAAGCAUAAAGCUUGCACUAGCAUUGGCAGCAGCACAUGGCCAUAAAAUUUGGCAUUUUGACAUAACCACUGCAUUCCUCAAUGCAGAAUUAGGUGAAGAAACUUACAUGGUUCAAGCACCAGGUAUGAAAAUAAAAAGCCUAACACAGUGUAUAAAUUGAACAAGGCCAUUUAUGGGCUGAAGCAGUCAGCCAGCAAUUGGAAUAUCUGUUUAGAUAGGGCAUUGAAGGGUCUUGGGUUCAAGAGUUGAAAGGCUGAUGGUUGCCUAUACACUGGAAAGUUACAAGGUGAGGAUUAUCAACUAUUAGCAUUUCUGGAUGAUCUUUGUUCCAUUGCAAAAAGAUGUGUCACAGGUUUGCUAAUAAGUUAGAGAAGUUUGAAUUAAAAAAUUUGGGAGAAAUACAAAAUUAUCUUGGUAUAGAGAUACAAAAAACUGAGAAAGAUGGUUAUGUUCUCAGUCCAAAAAGAAAAUUGAACAGCUAUUGGAGAAAUACAAUAUGAAGGAUUGUAAUUCUGCUCCAACAUCUAUAAGCACAGAUUUUUCUAACAGUUUGGGUAGGGAUGAAAGUGAAGCUUGUGAUCAAGAGUUAUAUCAGUCAGCAAUAGAGAGCCUGUUAUAUCUGUCACAGAGGUCCAGACCAGACAUAGCUGGUGCAGUAAGCAUUUUGAGUCACUUUACUGCUGCACCAAUGCAAUUGCUUUAGAUGGGUGUAAAAAGGAUUCUCAGGUAUUUGAAGGAAACUGUGAAUUUGGGUCUUCAAAUACAGGUCUCUGAAGAAUUAAAAUUUAAAGGUUGAUAAUAAUUAUGCCAAUGAUGUAAAAACCAGAAAGUUCAAUUCUGGAAUGGUGGUAUUGUUUGGAGGGGCUUUAAUUGGUUGGAAGUCCAGAAAGCAAAUAACUGUAGCCAUUUCUACUGAAAAGGCAGAAUUUAUUGUUUUAUCUGAACUUUGUUCGGGGUAACAUGGUACGUACAACUGUUACAGGAUUUAAAUGUAAAGAUAAAUGAAGCUGUAACAGUGUUUGAGUAUAAUGCUUCCUGCAUUAAAAUGGCAACAUAUGACAGAGUAAAAAAUAGAAGCAAGCAUGUGGACAUUAAAUAUUGCAAUAUAAGAGAAGCCAUCAAAUGUAAAUUUAUUAACUGUGCAUGCCCCAAGAUGGCGCUACGAUGAGCUAGCAGUGGAGAGUGGCGGGUCUUUUUCCAGUCGGCCUGGACCGGAGGGGCCAUUUUUGGCCACCCCGGUCCCAGGCCCUGCCGGGGGAGUAUCUCGCCAGUCUGUAGGUGAGAGACUGGCUUCGGCUGGGGUUCGGGCAGGCGGCGGUCCCCGUUCGUGUUUUUGGCCUGGGAUGGCGUGGUGGCGGUUUUCUGGUGGCGGCGGCCCUUCCCUGGCCGGCCCAGACUGGGGGUACCGUGGUUUGGCCCUUUGGCAUUGGAGGAGUCGGAGGAGGAGCCAUCUUGCCGGAGGUCAGGCAAGCGGUGGCCCUUAUGCUGGUGUUCGGUCUGGGAUGGCAGCGGUGGCGGUGGCGGCGGCGGAUUUCCGGCAGUGGCGGUGGCCUUUUCCCUUGCCGACCCGAACUGGAGGGCCCUCCCUCUGGCCUCUUUGGUGCUGGGCCCUGGAACCAUCUUGCCAGCCCAGAGGAGGGAGGCUGGCUUUAAAUUGAGGCUCAGGGUGAGUGGUGGCUUAGCUGGGCCUUCAAUGUGUGAUGGUGGUGGCGACGGCGGUGGCGACGGCGGUAUUCCAGCGCGUCGGCAGGGGCGUUGGUUUGGCGUUCACCAGAGAACCCAGCGGCCCCACGGAGCCCUUGUAGUCCACGGAUCAUCUAGCCAGCCGGGAAUGACGAUUUUUGGGGCGAGUUGUGGCCCGUGGGUUCUGUCGAAUGGAGACGGUGGCGGCGGCAGCGGUGACGUCAUGUCCCACAAAACACCACGGUGCCCCCAUGGGGUCCCCCUUUGAGACUUGGGGUUAGCCGAGGUUGUAGUUUCCAUCUUUGGCGGCGGAGGCUUCUCCUUCUUUGGGGCCCUUGGAGGCUUGGGUGGCUGGACUGGACGAUGGCCACAGAAAUGGCGGUCAUCUUAGGUCAUUUUCCAUCUUCUGACCUCCAAUCUUCCUGUCAUCUAAGUUAAUCCCCGGUGAGGGCGUUACCAUCGAUACCAUCAGGACUGACUGGGACUAGACCAUUCGUCACUGUCUUAAGCUUUGAUGUACUCAUCUGUGCAACUCCUUGGUCUGUGAGAUUCCCCCCUCUUGCAAAUUUGGCCCUCCAAUCUAUCGAGGGCCUACCUCGAUGACGGAUUUUGGAAUCCCGAGAGGUGGCAUGCAGCCAAAAAAGGAC
This is an RNA transcript of Ahaetulla prasina, 13126 nucleotides long. It is a transcript of the gene named protein O-linked mannose N-acetylglucosaminyltransferase 2 (beta 1,4-), with no coding region annotated. The transcript has 4 exons. The record is from RefSeq and is a predicted model, not a curated record. Lineage: Eukaryota; Metazoa; Chordata; Lepidosauria; Squamata; Colubridae.